Non-coding RNA from Acanthosepion pharaonis, 109 nucleotides. Lineage: Eukaryota; Metazoa; Mollusca; Cephalopoda; Sepiida; Sepiidae. The record is from the annotation of a GenBank genome assembly.
GUUGAAACACCAGUCCUCGUCUGAUCACCGAAGUUAAGCUACGUCGAAUCUAGCGAGAGUACGAGAGUACUUAGAUGGGUGACCACUAGGGAAUAUCGGCUGCUGUAAG